UAGAUCGAAAGAUUGCAAAGCAUUAUUUAAGAACCUAUUGGCAUAUAGUUACCGUAUAAUUCAUUUCUUUGAUCCAAGUGCUCAAGGUGACCUAGGGUUUAAGUGCCAACCCUGAUAUGGUCAUUCACAUUGUAUUUCAAUUUUCAAAAUCCAUCACAUGGAUUACUCCAGUCAAGGUUUUACUGAAUUAAAACAUACUGAUAUAUUAACUCCUAUU
RNAcentral lists this long non-coding RNA (217 nucleotides) under Elaeis guineensis (African oil palm). RNAcentral's name for it is "long non-coding RNA (EGUI_LNC055075)". Lineage: Eukaryota; Viridiplantae; Streptophyta; Magnoliopsida; Arecales; Arecaceae. The record is from RNAcentral.